UAAUCUGAGUAUAUAUUCCAGAUUACAGCCGGACAAGAGUACUUUCUCAUCGAGAUGACAGUUUGACUUUCAGGAUAAAUACAAGCAGGAAAGUUCGAGGAUUUUUACUUCAACACUCGAAAAUAACAGACUUUUGUCUGUCUUUUGUUUGUUUAGAUUUUUGUUUGUGUUGUUAUUUGUGUUGUGAGAUGUGUUUGUCGGGCGAGCGGGCUCUGCAGUCGGGUUCAGAGUUCCAGGCGGGAAGUUUUCAGUGGCCGACCUGUAUGGCUUAAACAGAAAACACAAAGGGUUCACUGAGGGGUCAGGACAGGGGGCGCUGCGGGCUCAUGAUGGACAGGGUCAAGUUCAAAGUUCAGGUGAAGACCUGGCAUCACAGAUCCUGGGAGCGGCACAAAGAAAGAUGGAGAAGAGAUGACUUGAGCUCUACCUGAGAGAAUAUGACCUGUCAAUCACAAAUUGCACUGCCCACCUCACCAACAUGCCAUACAGGAAUUUAGGGAAGUCUGGACUGAGAGUAUCCUGUCUUGGAUUAGAUAGCAGAGAAAAUCCUAACCAUGUCGUAUGAAAAUGGAGUAAAUGUCUUUGAUACAGCAGAGAUUUAUGCAUCAGGAAGAGCUGAACUCACUUUGGGGAACAUCAUAAAGAAGAAAGGCUUGAGAUGGUCGAGCUUUGUGAUCACCACAGAAAUCUACUGGGGUGGACAGUGAAUGUCUUCAGGGGUCUCUGUCCAGACUACAGAUGGACUAUGUGGACGUUAUGUUUGCAAACCACAUGGACUUUAAUACACCAAUGGAAGGUCAGUGUGUGUUUAGUCACAAUUCAUGUUGUUCCAUGAGGAGAAUUUUUGAAACACCAUAAAAGUAUCAUUAAGUAUCAUCAAAGUAGUCAUUAGAACUCGUGCACUAUAUUCCAAGUCUUCUGAAGUCAUACGGAAGCUUUGUGUGAAGAACAGACCCAAAUUUAAGUCUGAAAAUCUCUCCGCAGCUCUGAAAUCUCAUUCUCUAUUCCAUAUAUUCAAACUGGUGUCUUUGUGUUUGCUUUUGACACACGCAAGAAUCAAUAACACCGAUCCUGAAGUGGCGCUUUAAAGUGUUUUUGUGGUGUUUUUUGGAGCUUUACAGACGUGGUCACUAUGAACUGUUGUUUUCUCCUUUUGUGUUCCACGGAAGAAAGUCAUGCGGGUUUGGAACGACAUGAAGGUCAGUAAAUAAUGACAGAAUAAAUAAAUAAAAUUGUUGUUGUAGAGGUGGUCCGAGCGAUGACAUUUGUCAUAGAGAACGGAAUGGUGUUUUACUGGGGCACGUCUCGCUGGACACCAAUGGAGAUCAUGGUGAGACCGUCCUGAUGAAAUAUAUAAAUAUACACAAAUAUUUAUGAGACGUUAUCAUAAUCAGUGAAGCAACUGAAGAUGAUUUUGACAAUAAUAUUUCUAUUCGUCUGUAUGUAGGAAGCGUAUUCUGUGGCACGGCAGUUUAAUCUACUUUCUCCAGUGUGUGAACAGGUAGAAUAUCAUUAUUUUCAGAGAGACAAAGUGGAAAUUCAGCUGCCUGAACUCUACCACAAGAUCGGUAACACAAUUAAUGAUGACAUUUCCUACAGCAUUACUUUUAUGCAUUUGCAUUUUAUCCACACAAACCUGUUCAUGUCAGUAGACCUUCCUUUGCACACUAAAAGACAUCAUUAGUGAGGCAAAAACGUGUGUAAAUCACUUUUGUAAAGUCUCAUAACAGUCCUCUUUCUCAGGAGUGGGGACAGUGACGUGGUCUCCGUUGGCGUGUGGAUUCAUCACUGGGAAAUACUCCUGCCGUGCAAACUUACAGGAUUAUGAGUGGUUAAAUGACAGGUUGGACUCUGAUGAAGGCAGGAAACAGAUGCUGAAGGUCAAACAGCUCCACCUGCGGCCAGAAACAUGAACUGCACUGCUUCACAGUUAGCCAUUGCCUGGUGUCUCAGGAGUGAGAGUGUAGGUUCGGUUAUUCUAGGUGUCUCGAGCCCAGAUCAACUUCUGGAGAACCUGGGUGCUAUCAAGAUUGUUUCUCUGAUGACUCCAGAGCUGCUGAUGGAGAUAGACUCGAUCCCCUGCAACAGGCCGCGCUCCAAAACAUGAGCGAGAAAUCUGAUGAAGAAUCCAGACGAAAGAGACUUUACCUUUCCAAUUAAUCAUGCACGCUGAUUUUCAACACAGCUUCGUACAUCCGUAGAUUUCGUUUUUAGGCUGGAAGAACCUCCGAAACUUUGAUCUCCUGAGAGGUGGAAAAUAGACUAGGGAUGUGCCGAUUACGAUAUGUGUACGAUAUAUUGGAAUCGGGUCUGGUACUGCGCUCACUUUAUUCGUACAUGUAAAAAUGAUCAGAUAUAGAAAAACCAUACUGUCUGACAUACGAAAGUCAUACUAUGGAAGCCCAUUUCUGCCACAUAGAACAAAAAAAUCGUGCUUUGGUAAGUCAAAAUUAGGAGAUACAAAGUCAAGUAGUAAUAAUGAGAUAAAAUAGUAAGAAUUAUUGCCCACAAUCCCUUGCUCGACAGAAGGUUCCAAGGAAGGUUCACUUCAGAAAUUCAACUGAAAAACGUGAAAACCAGAAACGGCAGUGAAACUGACGGUGCUUCAUCAGUUCUUGUCAUGUGCUAACAUUCUUUAAUCCUGUGAAAAGAAACUGUAGGAUGAACACAGUGAUCAGCUUAUUAAAAUACAAACGAUCUACUGCUCCAUUUACACAAUGAAUCAUUCUCAUCUUAACUGCAUGCUUUAUGUCCAUCUACUGUAUUUGUGUUGCUUAUUGUGGGUGCUCUUGUGUGUGUUUUUAAGAGCUUUCUUUCUUGAAAAUAAUUUUUAAGGAAAAGUAUCAAAGCCCCAUUUAGAUUAAAAGGCGAAAAAACUGUUAAGACAAUUGUCUGUUCUCAUUUUAUUUUUGCCAUUUAAUGUAUCACUGAAAUAUAGCAGAGUUCAGAUUCUCUUUCAUCGGACUGUUGAAAUGAUGCAUUCGUAAUGUGACACUCCCAAAAACAAGAAAUAAAGUGAUCCAGGACAGUGUCAUGCAAAUGUUCUAUCCUUCUGAUUUGGUGUAACAUUCAAGAUGUGGUAGAUAAUCCUCGAUUUUUUUAACUUGAUGAAUCAUAAGAUAACACUGUUAAAUUGAUCAAAAAGAUGUAUUUACUGUUACGUGUUAUAUUAAAUCUGCAACACAUUGUGAACUUCACACAUUC
Molecule: RNA transcript, 3204 nt
Organism: Myxocyprinus asiaticus (Chinese sucker)
Lineage: Eukaryota; Metazoa; Chordata; Actinopteri; Cypriniformes; Catostomidae
Gene name: voltage-gated potassium channel subunit beta-3-like
Exons: 9
Source: RefSeq, a predicted model, not a curated record